CCGCGUGGGGGAUGAAGGUUUGUGGAUUGUAAACCCCUUUUGAUUGGGAAGAAUAACUGACGGUACCAAUCGAAUAAGCCUCGGCUAACUCCGUGCCAGCAGCCGCGGUAAUACGGAGGAGGCAAGCGUUAUCCGGAAUUAUUGGGCGUAAAGCGUCCGUAGGUGGUUUAGUAAGUCUGCUGUCAAAGCGCGGGGCUUAACUCCGUAACGGCAGUGGAAACUACUAGACUAGAGUGUGGUAGGGGUAGAGGGAAUUCCCAGUGUAGCGGUGAAAUGCGUAGAUAUUGGGAAGAACACCGGUGGCGAAAGCGCUCUACUGGGCCAUAACUGACACUGAUGGACGAAAGCUAGGGGAGCGAAAGGGAUUAGAUACCCCUGUA
Molecule: ribosomal RNA, 380 nt
Filed under: uncultured cyanobacterium
Lineage: Bacteria; Bacillati; Cyanobacteriota
Description: bacterial SSU rRNA
Rfam family: Bacterial small subunit ribosomal RNA
Source: RNAcentral